GACGAACGCUGGCGGCGUGCUUAACACAUGCAAGUCGAACGGAGAGGCCCUGCUUAUGUGGGGUACUCGAGUGGCGAACGGGUGAGUAACACGUUAGUAACCUGCCCUUGACUUUGGGAUAACUUCAGGAAACUGGGUCUAAUACCGGAUAGGAGCUCCUGCUGCAUGGUGGGGGUUGGAAAGCUUCGGCGGUUGGGGAUGGACUCGCGGCUUAUCAGCUUGUUGGUGGGGUAGUGGCUUACCAAGGCUUUGACGGGUAGCCGGCCUGAGAGGGUGACCGGCCACAUUGGGACUGAGAUACGGCCCAGACUCCUACGGGAGGCAGCAGUGGGGAAUAUUGCACAAUGGGCGGAAGCCUGGUGCAGCAACGCCGCGUGCGGGAUGACGGCCUUCGGGUUGUAAACCGCUUUCGCCUGUGACGAAGCGUGAGUGACGGUAAUGGGUAAAGAAGCACCGGCUAACUACGUG
RNAcentral lists this ribosomal RNA (468 nucleotides) under uncultured bacterium. Its description in RNAcentral is "partial 16S ribosomal RNA". It matches the Rfam family "Bacterial small subunit ribosomal RNA", at positions 28 to 507 of the family's 1533-position model. The record is from RNAcentral.